GUCAGCGUGGCAUAGUGGUUUGAGCAUUGGACUAUGGCUCUGGAGACCAGGGUUCAAAUCCUGGCUCAGCCA
Phrynosoma platyrhinos (Desert horned lizard) is the source of this 72-nucleotide non-coding RNA. Lineage: Eukaryota; Metazoa; Chordata; Lepidosauria; Squamata; Phrynosomatidae. The record is from the annotation of a GenBank genome assembly.